UGGAUAACUUCGGGAAACCGGAGCUAAUACCGGAUAAUAUUUCGAACCGCAUGGUUCGAUAGUGAAAGGUGGUUUUGCUAUCACUUAUAGAUGGACCCGCGCCGUAUUAGCUAGUUGGUAAGGUAACGGCUUACCAAGGCGACGAUACGUAGCCGACCUGAGAGGGUGAUCGGCCACACUGGAACUGAGACACGGUCCAGACUCCUACGGGAGGCAGCAGGG
This 222-nucleotide ribosomal RNA is filed under the name uncultured Staphylococcus sp. RNAcentral's name for it is "partial 16S ribosomal RNA". It matches the Rfam family "Bacterial small subunit ribosomal RNA", at positions 140 to 354 of the family's 1533-position model. The record is from RNAcentral. Lineage: Bacteria; Bacillati; Bacillota; Bacilli; Caryophanales; Staphylococcaceae.